UUGGUUACUCUUAUCAAAAGGAAAUAUUUUAUAACGUGUAAGAGGUCUUGAGCAAAUUAGGAAAAUUCUAUGUUGAUUACGUUGAAGGCAUCAUAUAUAUUUCCACACCAGCACCAAAACGUAAAGGAGAAGUGUUGAUUUGAAGGGUGGAUUUCAACGAAGUAAAGUAAGAUUGAAGAAGAGUAGUUUAUGGCAUAUGAGGUUUAUCAUAUUAGUUGUGGAAGUUCUUGGCUGGACUGAGCUCUUGAACGACGUAAGGUAUGUAAAGCUAACCCUUCUUUCUUUUUGGCAUGAUCUUUAUGAAACAAACAGACGAUGUGUAUAUAUAUAUAUAUGACUCCAAAGAACUCCUAUUCUUAGAGCCACUAGGAUGGCUAAUGUUCUUGAUUUCCAGAAACUAUUUUAUUAUGUCUUGAUACGUGUAUAUAAUCCUUGAGGUUCUAUUUUGAUAUAAUCCACAGCGAUAUUCGAAAGGUAUUUGAUAUAACUAUUGUCUUGGUUUUCAAAUGAUGUUUUGUUUUGAUUAUUCUUUUGAGUCUCAGAUAUGAUUUAAUUUGCAUAUGGUUUCUCACUACUCUACUCGUGCAUGCCUCAAUAUGUGUUUCAUCGAGUCCCGGGCCGGGUAUGUUAUCGUGCACAAUUUCACUGCAUUGUUCACCGAGUCCCUCACUAGAGGGCCGGGUACGGUAUAUAUAUAUUAUGGUGUUAUGCUAUGUUAUGGUGUUAUGCUGUGUUAUGGAGUUAUGCUGUGUUACGGAGUUAUGCUGUGUUAUGGAGUAUGCUGUGUUAUGGCGCCAAAGACGGGGUGGCGACCAUGUUCACCGAGUCCCAUAAUGGGCCGGAUAUGAUAUAUGAUAUUGACAUGCAUGAUUUAUGUUUCAAAGGCAAGCAUUUUGGUAUUCUGGUUAUUGUACUCGUUUUCUGUACUUCUUAUUUCAGUUAUGAUCCUGUUUACUGUAUUUCAUGCUUUACAUGCUCAGAACAUAUUCCGUACUGACCCCCUUUCUUCGGGGGGCUGCGUUUCAUGCCCGGAGGUGCAGAUACUCACUUUGGUGAUCCGCCAGCUUAGGAUUCCCUUUCUGCUAUCUUGGAGAGCUCCGUCGUUCCGGAGCCUAGAUUUUGGUUCAGACUUCCUGAUAUGUAUAUAUAUAUAUAUCUAUAUAUGUUUUUGUCCAGGGGUACGACGGGGCCCUGUCCCGUCAUAUGUUAUUGUUGAUACUCUUAGAGGUCUAUAGACAUGUAUGUGGGUUGUGUACAGGUUUUAUCAGCUGUGUCAAUAUGGUUAUUGCGGAUGUUCUGUCAUGGUAGCAGCCUUGCCGGCUUGCAUAUGUUAUCAUUUCGUAGUGGCAGCCUUGUCGGCUUGCGUAAUAUACUGAUAUGUAGUGUCAACCUUG
Long non-coding RNA from Lycium barbarum (goji berry), 1394 nucleotides. RefSeq lists it as uncharacterized. The transcript has 3 exons. The record is from RefSeq and is a predicted model, not a curated record. NCBI's taxonomy places the organism in Eukaryota, Viridiplantae, Streptophyta, Magnoliopsida, Solanales, Solanaceae.